UUAAGCCAUAAUCUAAAAUGGUUGGAGUAAAGUGUAUGUGUAUGUCCAUGUCCACAAUUUUUGCAUCUUCAUCUCUACCACCUACUGACCCUAACUUAAAACCUCCAUUCCUCAAAACCCAAACAAGAGUUGAAAGGAAACUCUCAGUUGCAGAGAUAGAAAGAGCCAUUGGUGCUGGCAUUUUUAAAGAUAGAGAUACCACCAGGAGUGCAAAGGAGAAUAAAACAUUGUUUGACUCAAUUUUGUCCAAUUCUGUUGGGGAGAAUGAAGGGGAUGUUGAGAAGAAGCUAAGACAAACUGGUGAAUGGCUUAUUCAUAAAACUCAAAACGCAUCUGCCUCUACUGGAAAACAGAUUUUAGUUGUUGUCUUUCAAUGGAUUCUACCAAUGUGGAUUAUUGCAUUUCUUCUUGCUUCUGGGAUCCUCAACCUACCAUUUCUUGAUGACUUGCUUUUGUAAACAAUUAUCCCCUUACAUAUUCGACUUAUAUUACUCUCUUUCAUACUCCCUCCGUACAUUUUUAUUUUUUUAUGUUGUCACGGACAAAAUUAGGCAGAGGCCAUACAUUUUUAUUUUUCAUGUUG
This 583-nucleotide unclassified non-coding RNA is filed under the name Hevea brasiliensis (rubber tree). The record is from RNAcentral. Lineage: Eukaryota; Viridiplantae; Streptophyta; Magnoliopsida; Malpighiales; Euphorbiaceae.